UACGGAGGGGGCGAGCGUUGUCCGAAGUUACUGGGCGUAAAGCGCGCGUAGGCGGGUUGGUAAGUCCGCUGUGAAAGCCCGGAGCUUAACUCCGGAGGGUCGGUGGAUACUGCCAGUCUUGAAGGUGCUAGGGGGAGAUGGAAUUACCGGUGUAGCGGUGAAAUGCGUAGAUAUCGGUAGGAACACCAGUGGCGAAGGCGGUCUCCUGGGGCAGUCUUGACGCUGAGGCGCGAAAGCGGGGGGAGCAAACGGG
RNAcentral lists this ribosomal RNA (253 nucleotides) under uncultured bacterium. Its description in RNAcentral is "partial 16S ribosomal RNA". It matches the Rfam family "Bacterial small subunit ribosomal RNA", at positions 524 to 776 of the family's 1533-position model. The record is from RNAcentral.